Molecule: long non-coding RNA, 764 nt
Organism: Oryza brachyantha (malo sina)
Lineage: Eukaryota; Viridiplantae; Streptophyta; Magnoliopsida; Poales; Poaceae
Exons: 5
Source: RefSeq, a predicted model, not a curated record
CCCACACGCACCCCUCCACAUUUCAAACAGUAAUUUCCCCAUUUUUUUCAUCUGCCUAGGCGAUGUUGUAGAGGGGAGGCGAGGGCGGCAAAUCUCUACGGCAGCAAGCAGCGAUUCCCCUCCGCCGCCGAUGCGUCGCUGGCGGGAGGUCCAGUAGCCAGCGGCGAGGCAGCCACGACGACCGCUACAGCCAUGCUUGCAGCAUCAUCUCACGGAGCAACUAAUCCCAUGGUGAAAGCAGCAACUCGUGGAGCAACAAAUCCCAUGAAUGCAAGAACUAUAUGUUGUGGAAAUGGCUGAGGGGUGAGGAAAAGGUGAAGCUAAAUUUCAUAUCACCUCAGUUAGCUUAUAGCAAUUGAUUGUUUUUCAGCUAGCAGUAUAUGGUGAAAACAUUAGCGACCAGCAUACACAAGAAGACUGAAACAUAGGCUUUUCGUUAUCACACAUGGGUUGGAACCAGCACAAAAAGGUAUGGUGUACUAGAUGGUGGGAAUCAACAUGAAGAGAUGAUGGGGGAUCAAAACAAGAAGACAUAGCCAGUAGAUGGUGUAAAUCAACACGAACAGAUGGUGGGGAUCGACACGAAGAGAAAUUUUCACAUUUAUGUAUCAUCACAGAAUUGGGGGAGGCUGGGAGAAAACCCAUGUGGAGACCAACCUUUUUGCUGCCAGCUUCUCAAUUUUGCUUUUUUACCCAAAACAAUGGGCUGAAAAGGCUGUUACGUGUUUCUGAAUCAUUAAUAAAACGGGCCAUGUUUUAUCUAA